UACGUAGGGGGCAAGCGUUGUCCGGAUUCAUUGGGCGUAAAGAGCGUGUAGGCGGCCAGGCAGGUCCGCUGUGAAAACUCGAGGCUCAACCUCGAGAUGUCGGUGGAAACCGUCUGGCUAGAGUCCGGAAGAGGGUAGUGGAAUUCCCGGUGUAGUGGUGAAAUGCGUAGAUAUCGGGAGGAACACCAGUGGCGAAGGCGACUACCUGGCCUGUUCUUGACGCUGAGGCGCGAAAGCGUGGGGAGCAAACAGG
This 253-nucleotide ribosomal RNA is filed under the name uncultured bacterium. Its description in RNAcentral is "partial 16S ribosomal RNA". It matches the Rfam family "Bacterial small subunit ribosomal RNA", at positions 524 to 776 of the family's 1533-position model. The record is from RNAcentral.